UGAUCAUGGCUCAGAUUGAACGCUGGCGGCAUGGCUAAAACAUGCAAGUCGAACGGGGCCGCAAGGCCCAGUGGCGGAAGGGUGAGUAAUAGUAUCGAAUGUACCCCGAGGUGUGGGAUAGGCAUGGGAAACCGUGCGUAAUACCACAUGAUCUCUGCGGAGCAAAGCUUCGGCGCCUUGGGAGCAGCGAUACACCUAUCAGGUAGUUGGCGGGGUAAUGGCCCACCAAGCCGAAGACGGGUAGCCGGUAUGAGAGUACGGCCGGCCACAUCGGGACUGAGACACUGCCCGGACUCCUACGGGAGGCUGCAGUAACGAAUAUUCCACAAUGCACGAAAGUGUGAUGGAGCAAUGCCGCGUGCGGGAUGAAGCGCCUUUGGCGUGUAAACCGCUGUCAGGGGAUCGAAACACUGAUCAUCCCCAGAGGAAGUGGCGACUAACUCUGUGCCAGCAGUCGCGGUAAUACAGAGGCCACAAGCGUUAAUCGGAAUCACUGGGCUUAAAGGGUGCGUAGGCGGGUUCGUAAGUGCUAUGUGAAAGCCCUCGGCUCAACCGGGGAACUGCAUGGCAUACUGCGAAUCUCGAGGAAUCUAGAGGCCGGCGGAACGAUAGGUGGAGCGGUGGAAUGCGUAGAGAUCUAUCGGAACGCCAAAGGUGAAGACAGCCGGCUGGGGAUUUCCUGACGCUGAGGCACGAAAGCGUGGGGAGCAAACAGGAUUAGAUACCCUGGUAGUCCACGCCCUAAACGAUGCGCAUUAGACCGGUGCAGGUCUGACCCUGUAUUGGUCGUAGAGAAAUUGAUAAAUGCGCCGCCUGGGGAGUACGGUCGCAAGGCUAAAACUCAAAUGAAUUGACGG
This 857-nucleotide ribosomal RNA is filed under the name uncultured bacterium. RNAcentral describes it as "bacterial SSU rRNA". It matches the Rfam family "Bacterial small subunit ribosomal RNA", at positions 14 to 916 of the family's 1533-position model. The record is from RNAcentral.